RNAcentral lists this ribosomal RNA (496 nucleotides) under uncultured bacterium. Its description in RNAcentral is "partial 16S ribosomal RNA". It matches the Rfam family "Bacterial small subunit ribosomal RNA", at positions 28 to 506 of the family's 1533-position model. The record is from RNAcentral.
GAUGAACGCUGGCGGCGUGCCUAAUACAUGCAAGUCGAGCGAACAGACGAGGAGCUUGCUCCUCUGACGUUAGCGGCGGACGGGUGAGUAACACGUGGAUAACCUACCUAUAAGACUGGGAUAACUUCGGGAAACCGGAGCUAAUACCGGAUAAUAUAUUGAACCGCAUGGUUCAAUAGUGAAAGACGGUUUUGCUGUCACCUAUAGAUGGAUCCGCGCCGCAUUAGCUAGUUGGUAAGGUAACGGCUUACCAAGGCAACGAUGCGUAGCCGACCUGAGAGGGUGAUCGGCCACACUGGAACUGAGACACGGUCCAGACUCCUACGGGAGGCAGCAGUAGGGAAUCUUCCGCAAUGGGCGAAAGCCUGACGGAGCAACGCCGCGUGAGUGAUGAAGGUCUUCGGAUCGUAAAACUCUGUUAUUAGGGAAGAACAAAUGUGUAAGUAACUAUGCACGUCUUGACGGUACCUAAGCAGAAAGCCACGGCUAACUACGU